This 367-nucleotide ribosomal RNA is filed under the name uncultured bacterium. RNAcentral's name for it is "bacterial SSU rRNA". It matches the Rfam family "Bacterial small subunit ribosomal RNA", at positions 355 to 738 of the family's 1533-position model. The record is from RNAcentral.
UGGGGAAUCUUGGACAAUGGGGGCAACCCUGAUCCAGCCAUGCCGCGUGAGUGAAGAAGGCCUUAGGGUUGUAAAGCUCUUUCAACGGUGAAGAUGAUGACGGUAGCCGUAGAAGAAGCACCGGCUAACUCCGUGCCAGCAGCCGCGGUAAUACGGAGGGUGCGAGCGUUAAUCGGAAUUACUGGGCGUAAAGCGCGCGUAGGCGGUUGCUUAAGUCGGAUGUGAAAGCCCCGGGCUCAACCUGGGAACUGCAUUCGAUACUGGGCGACUAGAGUACGAGAGAGGGGAGGUAGAAUUCCACGUGUAGCGGUGAAAUUCGUAGAUAUUCGGAGGAACACCAGUGGCGAAGGCGGCUCACUGGCUCGAU